This is a long non-coding RNA of Sander lucioperca (pikeperch), 136 nucleotides long. RefSeq lists it as uncharacterized. Lineage: Eukaryota; Metazoa; Chordata; Actinopteri; Perciformes; Percidae. The record is from RefSeq and is a predicted model, not a curated record. The transcript is spliced from 3 exons.
UCAAUGCAUGUCUGCGCUGCAGCUCAGCUCUGCGUGCCAGUCUGUGUGUGGGGAGUGUUUGAUUGAGGUGUUCACAUUAUGCAACACAUGCUACACAAUAACAAGCAGGCUGAGUAACGCAUGAAAGAGGCUGUUU